This 344-nucleotide long non-coding RNA is filed under the name Cyanistes caeruleus (blue tit). Its description in RNAcentral is "lncRNA (ENSCCEG00000011909.1)". Lineage: Eukaryota; Metazoa; Chordata; Aves; Passeriformes; Paridae. The record is from RNAcentral.
CCAUAACGUGUUCCCUCGGUGUCUGAGGAAUGCCUUUCAAAACCAUAUCACUACAGCUGCUUGGAAAUUCUCCCUUUGAAAUGGUCUUUAUAACAUCUUAAUAUUAGCCCAUUUGUCUUUCUUUUUUGUGCUAGUAACUGCUGAUGGACAUUCUCAGAAGACUGUAUACUAGGAUGGGCCACUGCUGAGAAGUGUCUUGGUAACUGGACAGUUUUGGAGGGGAAAAGAUGAAAAACAUGCUUGGCUCAUCAAUCCCUGAUGCAUUAAUGUCAUCUCAGUGUCCCCAUGUGAAAGAAAAAGUAACUUUCUGCCUUGACUUCAGCAGCAGGUUUUUACCUGAAGGU